AGAAAUAACCUUAACAUACGCACUUAUUUCAAUAUAUCAUUGUUCCAGCCAAACCCUUGCAGUCUCCAAUGCCACCUUCGCAGCACCACGCACCGAGUCUCUCUGGCGUUCCAGUUCUAAGGCUUCUGCCAACUUAUCAUAUGCAGCCUCCAUGCUGCUCUUUGACUCCAACAUUUCCUUAGAAACUUCAUCAACAUGUGUUUUGAGGACCAAUGUCUCUGCUUCACAAGAAGACAGUUGUUUCUCAAGUUGAAGAAGCAUGGCCUUGACAAGUGAUAUUUCUUCCUUAAGUGACUGAAGAUGAUUAUUGGAAGCACUGUAAGCAGUCACUGCCUCAGCAUGGAGUCGUGAAACAUUAUCAAACUGAACUUUCUCACUGUCCAAAAGCUUGAUUAGUUCAUGAGAGGAGAGGCCUUUGCACAGGGACCCUUCAAUUGUCUCAAGCCUUGACAUAUUGUGAAUAUAUUCCUUCACCUUCUCUCCAAAGGGGCCACAUUCAAUGGACAGAUUCUGUAAGGUUUUAAAAGUAGCUUCUGCCAACUUUACCAUUGCUCCACGACGGUGUGGAUUCAUAGACUCAAGAGUAUUAAGAAGAGCUUGCCCAUAUUCCUUUAAGAUAGAUUUUGCUUCGUCUUUCGUUAUACCAAAAGGCUCAUUAAGCCCUGAAGCCUCUUGAAUAACACCACCUACAAGCUGAACAUCCUGCCCAGAAGUAAGAGAUGGUGGCGUAUCAGUUUCAUCACUACCUAGUAACACAAAUGAUCCUUUAUUUUCAGACGUAUUUACAUCGUUAUCAAAGGAAGGGCAAAUAUCUGCAAAAAGAUGCAAGUGUCAGAAUCCAGGAUAAAAGGAACAAGGUAAACGAACAAAUGAAAACAGCCAGCCAUGCUUACAACAAACGAUAGGCACAACAGGAGGGAAAGCAUGACGAUCCAACCAAUCAUAGACAUGUAGAUGUAAAACCUGAUAAAUAAAAUCUACCAAAUACCAAAAAGGAAGAGAGAAAUAUUAUCUCAAUACCUUGGAAUAGUAAUGCUAAAAAAAAGUAAUUUUAAAUGCUAAAAAGAAACUAAUGUCAAUAGGCCUCACAUUCAUGCCCCCUGAAACCUAAUACCCAAAAACAAUAAGAAAAAGAAGUCCAGAGAAAGACACACCCUGAGUUAUGGUAUUCCCUGCAACAGAAAUUUGCCUGGCUAACUCUUUCAGGAAAUAAGACUUUGAUUGACGCAUACGUUGGAAAACUAGCAGUGGAACCUCUGACUCCACAUCUUCCAUGACAAGUUCCCAAUUGUGCAUUUCAUCUUGCUCUGAAGGUAUAACAAUGUUUGGCAUAUUUGAGGCAUUUUCAGCACCUACUACAAUAGGUGACUCUGGCACUAUCUUAGAACUCAAUUCUUUAUUGUCCAAUUCAUUAAUUGCACUGUUAGACCCAUUGCUUUUACCCACAUACUUUCGCAUCAUUGCAUUCACUUCAGAAUCUACCCAUUGGAAAAAACUACAAGCUCCGUGAUUCUUUUUAAUCCUGCAAGCAAAGUACCAAUUUUCUCCAUUGGGCCCUGUGGAUUCUCUGCUAAGAUUUAGACUACAAAAUCCAACACCACAAGGGCACAUAGG
This 1614-nucleotide unclassified non-coding RNA is filed under the name Hevea brasiliensis (rubber tree). The record is from RNAcentral. Lineage: Eukaryota; Viridiplantae; Streptophyta; Magnoliopsida; Malpighiales; Euphorbiaceae.